This 206-nucleotide ribosomal RNA is filed under the name uncultured bacterium. RNAcentral's name for it is "partial 16S ribosomal RNA". It matches the Rfam family "Bacterial small subunit ribosomal RNA", at positions 568 to 774 of the family's 1533-position model. The record is from RNAcentral.
CAUCUAGGCGGUCAAUCAAGUCGAAGGUGAAAACUUGUGGCUCAACCAUAAGCUUGCCUACGAAACUGAUUGACUAGAGUACUGGAGAGGUGGACGGAACUACACGAGUAGAGGUGAAAUUCGUAGAUAUGUGUAGGAAUGCCGAUGAUGAAGAUAGUUCACUGGACAGAAACUGACGCUGAGUGCGAAAGCUAGGGGAGCAAACA